AAAGUGCUGGGAUUACAGGUGUGAGCCACCGCGCCCAGCCUGCUCUAGCAUCUUAAGACAAAUUCCUUUCUUAGGUAUUACCUAGAGAGUGAUGAAAACAGCCUUCCCUGGCUCUCAGCUGGGGCCUCAGAGGCAGGCGGAAAGCUGUUCUGAGACCCUUACCUCUGAAUGUCUCAAUUCCAGUAGUUUUAAAUCUCAGCCAUAAAAUCACAAAAAAAGUGUGCUUUUUUUUUUUGCACUGGAUGUGUAUAUUCAGUGAUUUAGUGAUCCAUCCCAUGACCUAGUAUUGCUAUUGCUGUUGAACGUGUAAUUCUCUACUUGCAGAUGGGCUUUGUUUUUCAUCGGUCUCCUAGGCUUUAAGUGGAGAAUGUUUCAUGAAAUAGCAUAAAGAACAGGUGCUCAGGACUCAUGAAGCAAUUAGGAGCGAGAUCCAGGUUAUCAUCCAACAAAGAGGCAUCCUCCAGGGCUGGGAGUUGAGAGAAGCUGAGUGAAGAGCUGAAUUUGGCUCCUAGUUUCAUGGGCAUUAAGUUAAACUAAAAUUAGUAGUGUGCAUUGUGGAACGUGUGAAACACAGGGAGAAAAAUCACAUGUAGUUCAAGACCAGUGCUGGAGGGCCUUGGCAAAGCUUCUGGAAAAUGGGUGUGGCUAGGGUUGGUUCUGUGGUCUCAGGUCCACAACCUGACCGGCCAUGGACAAUUAACCCAAGUCCUAGGCUGCCUGCCAAGUGGUUUGCUAGACCCUGGGUAGUUGCAAUAUGAGGACCUGCCUAAACUCUUAGCAAGUUAUGUUCUUUCUAAUUGAAAGGUCACUGACUUGUCCUGAGGGAGAGAAACCUCCAGAGCCAGCACAUAAGCAAGCUGCCAUGCGUUCUACAGCUGCAAGGAAAUUACUUCUGUCAACAACCCAAGGGAGCUUGGCAAUAGAAAUCUUUCCGUGUUGAGUUCACUGAUGAGACAAAGCCCAGGUCAACAUCAUGAUUUCAGCUCGGUGAGAAGCCCUCAGAGAACUUGCUAAGCUGUGCUUGAACUACUGAUCCACAGAAACUAUGAGAUAAUACAUGGGUGUCUUUUAAAGCCACUGCGUUUGUGGUAAUUUGUUACAAAGCAAUAGAGCACUAAUCCAGACUUGGGCCUAGAUUUUCAAUUUUAUUUUUUAGAAAGUCAAAUGGAGCAAGGCUAUGUGCAUUAGCCCUUCUGGUGGGAGGGGCAGGGCAAUGAGGAUCAAGAAUGCACUUGUCACAUACACAUUUCUGCAGCUAGAUGCCAAUCCAGGCUCUUCUUAUUUGUGAAUAUGUCUCCAUAGGGCUGGAUGGCUAGUAUGGCCUAGUCUCUGAUUCCAAAAUUACCACGUGAUUAGGAAGCCAAUCUUCCUAAUCUUUUCAGUGGAAUAACUGAAAAAUGUCAUCCAUCCAAGUCCAUACUUCCAAAGCAAGGACUAAACUCACAUUAGGUAUGCAUCCAUCUAUUUUCUUUUGAGACAGAGUCUCGCUCUGUUGCCCAGGCUGGAGUGCAGUGGUGUGAUCUUAGCUCACCGCAACAUUGCCUCCCAGGUUCAACUAAUUCUCCUGCCUCAGCCUCCCAA
Molecule: long non-coding RNA, 1581 nt
Organism: Callithrix jacchus (white-tufted-ear marmoset)
Lineage: Eukaryota; Metazoa; Chordata; Mammalia; Primates; Cebidae
Source: Ensembl